Molecule: ribosomal RNA, 253 nt
Filed under: uncultured bacterium
Lineage: Bacteria
Description: partial 16S ribosomal RNA
Rfam family: Bacterial small subunit ribosomal RNA
Source: RNAcentral
UACGAAGGGGGCUAGCGUUACUCGGAAUGACUGGGCGUAAAGGGCGCGUAGGCGGUUCAUUUAGUUAGGCGUGAAAUUCCUGGGCUCAACCUGGGGGCUGCGCUUAAUACAGGUGGACUGGAGUGUGAAAGAGGGUCGUGGAAUUCCCAGUGUAGAGGUGAAAUUCGUAGAUAUUGGGAAGAACACCGGUGGCGAAGGCGGCGACCUGGUUCAUUACUGACGCUGAGGCGCGAAAGCGUGGGGAGCAAACAGG